AAUGAAGGCACCUGCACACCACUGAGGGUCUGGACCAAAGUUCUCUGCAGAGUUAAUGCAUAUACAAGCAGACCAAAGCUUGGACAGGGUCAAGGGGUUUAACUCUGUGCUGUCCUGGGAGGUGUAAGGAAUAAAUACAUUACACAAUUUAAGAGUCUAAUUGAGGGAACCACUGAUGUGCAAGAGUAAGGACUGCUUAUAGGCAAAGAGCUUGCAGGAUCAGACCUUCGAUUUGUUUGUAUUGAAUGAGAUGCAUCUGCUGCUUAAAGUGCAAGGCAGGGGGAGAUCAUGGUACAAGAGCCUCCUUCCUUGUACUUUGUCCUUCCCAUACACUGGGGAACUGUCACGGUUGUGGCAUAUCUGCCCCUAUAUGAGCAUGUGCACACCCACUCGCUGCUUUUUGGGGCAGAGGGACAGUGCUGUAUGGCUGAAGCUGCCAUUAACUGCAAACAGCCAGAGGCUUACCCCUGAAGAACAGUUUCUGGCUUCUGCCCCACCGGCCCUCUUUUGAAUCAGGUCAGCGACUGCAUUAAGAGCUGCAUUUUUUCAGUCUCUUCCAGCGCUGCUCACUAAUUGUUUUUCUAGGGGUAAUGAGUGAGGAGCUGCCAGAGGCUGUUAGCACUGGACCGAGAGGAGGACCCACGAAGGUGGCUGGUUUGUCAAGAAAGUUUAUGAUUACCAACUUGAAGGACUCUCUAGCUGCAUUAAUUCACUUGAUUGCUUGCCUGUGAUUCCAGCUUGUGGGGGAGGGGGACGGUCCCUGGUGGCCCUUUGGCAGAAGGGAUAAGUGAAAACCAGAUAUAGGAAAAAUAGGGCCAGGGCUUGACCAAGAGGAAGCUGACUUAGCACCAGUGAGGCUGCAGAAUGACAUGGAUUUGUCCAGUGAGAAUCUGUCCCAAGUCUGAACCCCGGGGGUUUGCUCUUGGGCAGUUGAAAAUGGCAUAGCCUGUGUGAUGAUCUCUAGGUUAUCAUGAUUUUUCAGGUGCUGCCCUUGGGAACAAGGAGGGGAGGCCUUUUCCUGAAUGUUUUCAUUUAACAGCAACAGCAAGCAGGACAAACUCUUCGGGGAGGAGGGGGUCUCCUCACUUCAGAGCCAAACCCCAUGACACCCAGUUGCUGUUUGAAGCUCCACACCUUUAACCAGGGGGCACCAUUGCCCACCACACCUCCUUCUGCCUCAGUUGAUCCUCAUUAAAGGAAGUUCUCAUCCAAAGGCAGCUCUAGAUCAAGACAGAGUAUCAUGCCUGCAAUGUGUGUUGCUAUGAAAUUCCUUGAGGCUUUUACAAACAGAUGAAUGUGUGCACAUGGAUGUGCACAUGUAUAUGUGUGCAGAUUUGUGCAUGUGUGAGUACACAUCUGGAUAUGCUUUUGUAUGUGUGUGCAGGCCUAUGUGUAUGGGCAUGUGUGUGAGUAUGCGCCCAUACAGGUGUGUUGUGUGUGCAUAGUCAGUCCAGCCAGAGCCUGCUGAGCAGGUUCCUAGCCAAUCCUUAAUUGCAGGUUAUUUGACAGGGGGCCUGGUGGGGAGGGGAGCAACCAAGCUCUUUUCUGUCUGUUUCUUUGGUGGGAGCCCCCUUUGAGAACCAAUUACUGGGGCCUUUUGGAAUUUUUAAUUGAAUAUUUGUGUUGCAAGCAGGAGCAGGACCCAUAGCUCUGAUUAGGGGAAGCAGGAAGACAAUGACUUGGGCCUUGUUUGCUUUUCAUUCAGGAUUAAGGACUUUUAAUUGUUCCAAAGAUCAUAGAUUGUGGCUCAGGGGAUAAUUAGUUUGAAUGUCGUUUUCUGGUUGAGUCCCCCUGGCCAAGGGGAAUGGCGCGGUGCUGCGGCGCCACUCACUCUGCCAGCUGUGCUUGCCUGCAGACAAUUGGGUUUUCUGGGGGAUUUAUAUCUCUAGAUAAAGCUUAACUGGGAUUAACUGGCAGCGUUAACACAGCUGGAGUUGCUGGCUCUUGCUAGGCUAGUGGGGCCUUGACCCAUGUGGCUGUGUUUAAAAUUCAAACCACGUGCAGGAUCUGGAUUCCCCAGACUCGGACAUCCACAGUGACACAACACUCUUGGUCUCUCCCCAGUGGUGGGCUUUGAGGAGGGACCUAGCCCCUCCAAUAGUUUCAGUCCCUCAUGUUGCCUGUGUAUUUGCUGCAGGGUGCCUAAAAUUUUCCUCUUUCUAGCCCUGUCUCUUCCCCAGAUAGUUAUUAUGCUGGUGCUUUUCCAUUCAAAUAUCAGCUCCCCUCUUCUCCUGCCCUACUGCAGGACUUUAGCUCAUUCUCUGUGGGCCCCACUGGCUGAUGUCAAAUGGGGCUGCAAGCUGAGCAGGGUUUCCUUUCCUAAAUGGGUAAGGCAGUGGGAGUUGCCAUUUUUUAGUACACUUCACUUUGGGGAAACUUACAGUAUUCAUUCUCUCCAUUUCCUGGCCAAUAUGAACAUCCAUUUUCCAACACCUGCAUGGAUCUGUGAGAUACAAGAGGAGCUCCAAGUGAGGAAAGAGUUGUGAGCAUGUGAUGAUCAAGAACAGCCCUUUCCGUGGAGAGAUGGAAUAAGGCAGGGGCUCCUACCACUGGGCGAUGGAAUGAGACCCCUUUGGAAAUUUCAAAUGGAGGUGUGAAACCCUUUGAAUUUGUUACAGGUGCUAAUAUUUUGCUGUCCUAUUACAUCAUACUGCUGUGCGAUCAGUUCCACGAACUAUGCAAUGUUUGUCAAGUGUGGAGGUGGAUGGAAGACUGCAAAAGAAAACUCAAACCAAGCUGGAAGCUUUGCUGAAGACCCCAAAAGCGGUGCUGGCCGGCAGAGCCAGUGCACCCCUUCCCUGGAUCCCUGCAGUGUGUCUGUGGGAUGCAGCACGCAGCUCUGGGUACUGCCCCAUGGACAGGUGUCGGCUGAAGAACUGCACCACUGCCCAGCUGGCUUCACUUCCUUGCCUCCUCUCAUCCAGCCCCUGGCACCUGACCUAACUUCACACACCAUCCAGCCUCUGAAAUGCCUGGCUUCUGCUCUGUCUCCAGCUGCUUCAUCCUAUUGGGCUCACAAAUGACCCACGUCUUACUUUGUUGCUCCUCCCAGAUGCUCUGCCAGGGGUGGAAAGCAAGAAAAUCCAGGGGAAAUAGCCCCUGUGAUGCGAGACAUCCACAUGCCUCCUGACUUGUGAUGGACCUCUGAAAGGGUACUGACCCCUCCUCAAUCCCCUUAUUUGACAGGGCCACAAAGCCCCCAAACCUCCGUCACAUGGGUGCUCCACAGACUUGCCUACCUUACACCUAUCCAAGUUAUUUCAUAGGCACAGAGUCUGGUACCUCCCUGAUGAGCUGCAGGUUGGCUUCUCUAUCCAAAGAACAGAGAUAUCCCAGAAGACUUCCCUGUCCCAGCCACAUUCCUAGGCAAGCCUUGGGACAUAAAGGUUUGGGAAGAAGCCAUCAGCUCCACAGGACGGGCAGGCAGGCAGGUCAGGAUCUUGAGAAGAUGGAAGCCUGUGAAUGGCAGGAGGAGGCUGAUGGGGAAGGGACAAGGGAGAAUGUGGAGACGGGCAAGGGUGGGAGACCUGAAGGGGAAGGUGGCAGAGGAAUGUGUCAGCAGGAGGCCAGAGGGUAUGCUGAUGGGGUAGAAGAAGGGGGUUAGGAUAAGUCUGUUAGGGUGAAUGGUUGAAGGGAAGGAGAUAGGAGUCUGGGGCUGUUCAGAGAGGUACAAGCAGGCCUGGGUGUUGGUGGAAGGGAUAGGGAGUUUGGGGCUGUGUAGGGAGAAAAGGAGGUACAGACAGAGUCUGAAGCCUGCAGCAAGGUUGUCUAGGGCAAGGGAGGAUGAGCAGGGGUGAUGGUGGGAAGGGUAAGUGACUUGGAGAGGCCAAGGAAGAAGCUGCAAAUGGACUGUGUUGCAGGGCAGGCUGGAGGCCUGGUACGGUGCGGGGUGGAGGACUGGAGCUGGAAGUAGGAGAUGGGCAGGGUGGGAAGGUGAAGCAGCGACAGGCAGCCUGGGGAGUGCUCAGGGUGAGGUUUGGAGCUUGGCCGGGAUAGCCUGUGGGAUACUGCAGUUCCCCAAGCUGUUCUGAGCCCAGAGUCUGUGGUGCACUUUGGGAUCUGAGCUUGCUCUUUAUGCUCUGACCCCACACAGCUGGAUCUCAGUCUGCAUACAUGGGAGGGGUGACUGUCUCAGCACUCUCAGCAUGAGCUGGGUGUUGCCGCGUUGUCUGGUAACCUGCAGGUCGGCCCAGCUGAAGCUCAGCUGACAUCCUGCUGAGGAAUAACAACAUGCCUUUGCCCUGGGCUUCCCGGAGCUGCACUGCGCUUGGUGCUGGUGACCUACUGCAGGCCAAUCAUGGGUUCUCUCCUUGACUGCCAGCUCACGUCUAGUUGUGGAGCAGCGCGUGUGCAUGUGGGUGCGUGUACGCAGCAGCAUGUGAGGGGAGCUGUCGGAGGGAAUCAGCUUGACUUGUCCUUUCCUGCAGGGCCAUUUGUUUUUUGCCACUGUAGAGAGGAUGAGCACGAAAGGGGCUACUAGGAGCUGAACUCCCUCUUUGGUGGAUGCGGCAGGGUGAGGAUGUGGAAAGACAAGUACUCCAUAGACUGCAGCUCCUUGAAAGCAGCUAUUGUUAGGAGCCUCAGCACAGAGGGAGCCCAGAGCAAAAGAGGCUUGUUAGAGAGGCCCAGACUGAAUACAAGACGCUCUCAGAGAACCACUGAACCAUGCUAAAUUACUUAAACUAACAUUAUUGACAUUGCACCCAGCUCUACUUGAACCGAGCAGCUUCUCCUUCUGUUCAUCAAAAAUUCAUAGUCAAACCCUCAGGCGCUUCUUUCUCUGGCCUUGUUGUUCACUGAGGGCUUUUUUUUUCUCUCUCUCUCUUUCCAGUCCCCCGGCUCUGAAAGGAAGAAGGGGACGCCUGAUGGGGGAGAUCAAGUGGGCCUUUGAAAAUUCCCUUUCGGAGUUUAUUAAACCAGAGUGCACGGCUAGGCAAACCUGGCUCACAACCAGCUCAGAGCAGGAGCAGUCCCUCCCCCUCCCCCAUGCCCUGACAAUCCCCCUCCUCUUGCAAAGAUUUGCUUUUUGCCUUUAUUUAAUUAUUUAGGCAUUUAUUUUUCUUCCAGGACACUUGACAAAACAGACUUUCAAAGGGUGAAAUCAGGAACUCUCCCCAGCCUGUCCUCCCACCUCAAUUCCUGCCUUCUCACCUGCCCCUGCACCCCCGCAGAAUAAAAACUAGACCCAUGCCCAGGCUGAGCCACAGAAAGGCUGCUGGAAUUUGGGUGAACUGGAGGCGCCCCCUCUCUUGUGGGGCAUUAACUUUAAAGCUCUGUUUUCAUCCAUUAUGUUUCUGUUCAAUAGGAGGUUUUCUUUCCAACUGGAAAUGUAUGUGUUGGAUAGAUUUGUCUUUUAAUAUAAGGACUGUCUUGUAGUUGAGAGAGCAAAAGAGAGAAACAAUCCAUGGAACAACACAGGAAGGCAGAGGGAGAGAGAACAAAAACAGCAGUCACCCUUAUGAAUGUUUAAUUUGCCAGGCUAGCUAAAUAACAUCAUCUCAGUAUUCUCUGUGCUAAGUAAAGGGACGCCAAGGGCGCAGUGGGGCAGUGUUAGUUACUGUAGUGAUCAAAGGCUGCAUUAGCAAGGGUCUCUGCUUUAUGAGUGGGCUACAAACAGUGCUAGGACACACACGCAGGAACUCCGAGGCCUUUGCUAAAAUGAGAGCUAUCACUCAUCCCUGAAAGGCUUAAAAUGUGACCUUAAGGGCAUAUCUAUGCAGUGAAGUGCGGAGAUACCCGUGCUAGCUUUGAACAAUGCAGUGCCUUUAAACAAUCCUUGUGCUAGUUCUCAGUGAGGUAGCUGUGGUAGUGAAAGCACUACAGCUGCAUUCGCACAGUGCGCAGCGGCUGGUAUUCGCUUUGGAUUUUACCAGUUCGGGAGGCAGUGAUUCGAUUCAGCAAUUUGGAGAUUCGGCAGCAGCCGAAUCUCCAAACCUCUGAAUCACGCAGGCCCCAUCUCCCGCCCGCUCUCAAUGACUGCCCUGCCCACCCCAGCUCCGGCCCUUUAAGGAAAAAAAACCCAAGGCUCACCGGUUCCUGCCUGGUGGGGGGGGGGGGGGAUGAUCCCCGCUGCCCCACACCACAUGGGGGGGGCUCUUCCAUGAUCCCUGCAAAGCCCCAAGGCCGCUGCAGGAGCUGAUGUGUUUUGGGUGGUGAAUGACAUGCCCUAUUUUUUCCAGUUUCAGUACAACUUAGGUGAGUGCAGCUUCAUCCCAAUAGAGGCCAUAGAAAGAAAGGCUGUCUGUGAGCUGUAGUUAGGAAGAAGUCCAUAAAAUGGCACCUGGCUAAUGCAGCUGAUUCUGUUGGUGUUUGUGCGCUUUCCUAGGUAGAAUCUAGGAUCCCGGCAGAAUACCCAGGAAAGCGCACAGACACCAACAGGCCCCCUAUACCUGAAGAAGGGCAUUUGUGCCCAAAAGCUUGCAAAGAACAAUUAUUUCAACUAUUUAGUUGGUCUAAUAAAAGAUAACACAUCUACCAAAAGAGCCUUGGUUUCAUUUUUGGCUUUCAUCUGUAUUUUUUGUUGAGGGAAGGACCCAAGAUGACAGCUCUGGGACCCUAAGGCUUCUCAGCUCUCAGAUCUGACACUGUGCCUGUCUACUGCUCUGCAGGGCUCUGCAGAGCAGUCAGCUAUGCAGCAUCUCUUCUCAAGGUUGCCACUCUUGGAGGGAUUCACCCCCUGUACUCAGCACUUCCAUCAGGAGGUGCUUGCUAACAUGUUUUCUCCCUGUGACAUCAGAGUUGUUGGGAGUACAACAAUACAUAGCCAUGGUUAGUCAUUAAGUACCAGUCCAAUCGUUCUGAAGCCCCAUGCAGUAUGUGGAAGCUUCCUACUACUUCUCUCUUUCCUUGACAACCAGGAGACUGCCUUCAGAUGCCUGAGGUUCUUACUCUUCAGCUCAUGCACCUGAUACCGAGACGACUUAACCCCACCUGGUUCCUGCUCAUCUCUGUCCCUGGGCUUGUUAGUCAGCCAGGCCCCGCUGACAGCAGGGAGCUGGGGUUGUAUAUGGAGUGCAAGAAGCAACGCUGUGGUUCAGUGCCUCUCUGCUAAUUCAGGGGGAAGGAAAUGUUAAACACACUAAAGUGCUGCUUAUUUGUGCUGUGUAAACUCCAGCCACCACAGUUUACUUUGCUGUCAGAAGCCCCUUAGCUUACUACAGAACAGAGCGCCUGUAAAAUGGGAGGCGCUCACCAGCAAAGGUUUUUCUGCUUUCGGAGCAGAGGGUUCAGAGGGGUCACCAUGUUGGCUGAGCGCAGGUGGGGAAAGUGAUAUAACAAAUGCCCCACUUCCUACUGUCCACUUUGUCAGCCCUGGUUCUUUCCCCAACGCAGCCCAUGGGUCUGGCUGUGACACCGUGAGUGUUAAGAUCUGUUGGCACUCUUAACAAGAUGAUGUGUCCUGGUUAAUGUUAAGAUCUGUUUGAGAAUUGUCAGGUUGAUGCAGAGUCUCGGGGCUAGUGGAGUGAGGGUUUACACGGGGCUGAACCACUGGUGCUUGGCUGAAUUGGAACGUGGAACACAGGUGGACGCUCCUGACGCUCUCUCCAGCGGGGCUGGCUGGUGUCUUCCGAUCUCGUGAGGCUUCCCAGGGAAAAGCGGGGGCACGUGGCACUUUGGAGAGAGGAGCCUUCGACACAGGGGGUCCGAUAGGAUUAAUGCAGCCUGCUGAAACCCACAGAGAGUGUGUGAGGCCUGAGACGCCUUUUCCUCCUGCCCCAUGAGGGAGUAUUAUUGAAAGUGGCUGUAGAGAAUUGGAGAGAGGUAUCAAGGGGAAAUGAGAAGGGAAAACACUCUGGUUUGGUCCUGAGAAGAGAAGGGGAGGAAGGAAACAUGAAGGCUGGGACAUUUUAGAUCCUAUGAAUUUGAUCUGAGAAACUGUAACUCUCUGAAGUGCCAAAGCUUAAUCCCUAAUUUCUGAGGUUCACCCAUCACCACCUAUGCGUUAGCAGCACAAAGAGGUUGACUUAUGGGGCAUGAAUGAAUAGGAUGGGCUUAGUUUACAGUUUCAAGAAGCCUGGGAAGAACUUUCUAAUAGAGUCCAGAGCUGAACUGGGAUUUCACUAAUGCAGCCUGGAAUUCUGCCUCUGUCUUAACUCAGAUGACUACAGCCCUUUUGGCUUAGUCCUGUCCCUUGUCUACGGUCUAAAAAUGCAAGAACUUUCUGCUAAGUUCAGCAAUGGCUCUGAUCUGAGCCUUGCAUGUUUGAGAUGAAACACAUGCUCUUCUGGCAUGUCAGUAAUAAGGAGAGGCAGAAAGCCUUUGAGGUCCCAGGGCAAUUGGAAACGAUUUGGGGGAAUAAAGAAAACAGGGACAAUUAUAUGUAAUUCUGGUUUAAAGGGCAGAUUCCAAAUACCUGAUGGAGAAUGCACCUCUAAUCUUCUUUCAGCAGAGUCCUCGCUCAGAUCCCUUAUGUGGGGGAGAGAGUUUGCUGCUUUGUGCUGAAUCAGAUUAGACAGUUUACAGCUCAUGAGCAUCAAAUUUAAAACACCUUGUGCCCCUGGGACCACAGCAUCAGAUCUUGGCAAGACAGACUUGAGAGUUGUCCUUCAGCAGCAGAUACACCAAGUCCCAUGCAGCUUCUUAUAUGAGUGAUUUUUGGACAAGACCUUCGGGGUACAUGAUGAGUGCUGCCAUGAUCUAAUGCAUCUCCAGAGUGAUGUGUCUGACACUGCCCGACAUGGAGCCUUCUAUAAAAACUAGCUUCACUUCAUGAAAUUCCAUUUGACAGGUGCAGACACUCAAGCCGUUCUCCUGAGUCAACCAUUUUUUGUUCUUUUCCCAGUAUUGGGUACAUUUCAGCAAACGAAAGAGCCAAAAUCACUGAAAUGAUGAUACCAGUCAUAGGCUUUUAAGAUGUUUCCAGUUCACCCUCUGGAACCAAGCAUCCAUUGAACUAUGUUGAAUCCAGGGCCAUUGAACUACUUCUAACUUCUCCAUGCAUCUGGAACUUUGUUGGGAUGCCAAAGAAAUCAGAGAAACCUACUAAGGUGCUCACAAAUCUUGUUAUUCUAUUCCACCCAGGAAGAGCACUGGCCAACUGCAGAUGCUUCCUCAGCCCAAUGAAGGGUAUUUGUAUCCAAAAGCUUACAAAGAAGAAUUUUUCCAACUAUUUUAGUUAGUCUAAUAAAAAAUAUUAGAUUUAUCCAAAGAACAUUGUCUGCUACAAACCUUGUAUGCACCUUAAGUAAGACCCCUGGUAGGAUAUUCAUUCUCACUGUGAUAGGGAGGGUGAAAAGAUUAUGCUCAGUCUUGCUUUGGUCUCCCUGCCAGAAACCGGGGAUUUGGCUAUGAGCUUGAGGUUCUGCAGGCCCUUUGCAGUCAAGUCAUCUUUAUGCUGCGAGUGGUCACUCUUUGCAGCUCCAGAAUAUUACAGGAGAUUCUUUCUAACGCAGACCAAAGGGGACUCUUGUUUCCUCGGAAGCUGCACCUCAUGCAGACAUCAUACAGCUGCUUCUUAUUCUCACAGACUUGAGCUCUGAGGCCCGGUCAACAGCUCCUCAAGGAAAACUUUAAGUUGCUGGCGGAGUCAGGUCCCACAGGGGAGGCAUUCCUGAAAUUAGGCAACCCCCUCCCUCCAGAGGGAAGCCCCGGGUGGAAAUUUCCCUCCCAGCUAGACCCAUUGAAGGGGAAGCACCCCUUGCUAACUGGGAUCCAGGGGUAAAUGCACCUUAUAUCAUGUAAAGCUGCGCCUCAUUUUGUAUAACUGUUAUCAUAAUUAUGAAUAUGUUGUACACGAUGUUAUGGAAUUGGGUUAGUUUGGUAUAAUGGGUUUUUGUCUUAUCGUAUUGUAAAUAUUUAUCUGUAUACCUGUGGUGUUGUUAAAAAAUAUUGCUAAGAAUAUUUUAGGUAAGUUUUCUUUUGUUACCUAUUAGAAUAUUUACAUAUAUAUAUAUAUAUAUAUAUAUAUUGAAUAAGAAAUAAUAUGUAUAUUAUAAUUGAAUAAACUGUAAAUAGUUAAGA
This is a long non-coding RNA of Alligator mississippiensis (American alligator), 9960 nucleotides long. RefSeq lists it as uncharacterized. The transcript is spliced from 4 exons. The record is from RefSeq and is a predicted model, not a curated record. Lineage: Eukaryota; Metazoa; Chordata; Crocodylia; Alligatoridae.